GAUGAACGCUGGCGGCGUGCCUAAUACAUGCAAGUCGAGCGAACAGACGAGGAGCUUGCUCCUCGGACGUUAGCGGCGGGCGGGUGAGUAACACGUGGAUAACCUACCUAUAAGACUGGUAUAACUUCGGGAAACCGGAUCUAAUACCGUAUAAUAUAUUUAACCACAUGGUUCAAUUGUGAAAUACUUUUUUUCUGUCACUUAUAGAUGGAUCCGCGCCGCAUUAGCUAGUUGUUAAGGUAAAGGCUUACCAAGGCAACGAUGCGUAGCCGACCUGAGAGGGUGAUCAGCCACACUGGAACGGAGACACGCUACAGAGUCCUUGGGGAGGCAGCCGUAGGGAAUCUUGCGGCAUGGGCGAAAGACUGAGGGAGCAACGCCGCGUGAGUGAUGAAGGUCUUCGGAUCGUAAAACUCUGUUAUUAGGGAAGAACAAAUGUGUAAGAAAGAAUGAACGUAUUGAAGGUAACUAAUAAGAAAGCCACGGCUAACUACGUG
This 497-nucleotide ribosomal RNA is filed under the name uncultured bacterium. RNAcentral describes it as "partial 16S ribosomal RNA". It matches the Rfam family "Bacterial small subunit ribosomal RNA", at positions 28 to 507 of the family's 1533-position model. The record is from RNAcentral.